Sus scrofa (pig) is the source of this 14500-nucleotide non-coding RNA. NCBI's taxonomy places the organism in Eukaryota, Metazoa, Chordata, Mammalia, Artiodactyla, Suidae. The record is from RefSeq and is a predicted model, not a curated record.
UCGAGGCUGCUGGAAAGCGAACAAGCAAAGGAGGCGGGGAGCUGGCGAGGCGGCGGCUGCCUUCGCUCGACUGCUCGUUCGCUUCCCCGCGCUGCCUCGGGUCCGCCGCUGCGCUUCCUGCUCGCCGGCCGCUCAGUUGCACGCCGCCGGAGCAGCCGCCCUUCUCCGGGUCCCGGCUCGGCUCGGGAGUCGUGCGCGCCUGCCGACACCGCGCGGAAGGCGAGCCGGCGCCACACCUGUGGAGCCGGCGGCCGUCGAGGGUGCCGGCCCGGGUCCCGCCGCGUGCGUGCUCCGGGCCGUGGGCCGCCGGGGCCCCGGGGGAGUCUCGCUCCCUGGCUGGGCGCGGUGGGCACCAUGGGGCUCCCCGCACUAGAAUUCAGCGACUGCUGCCUCGACAGCCCGCACUUCCGAGAGACGCUCAAGUCGCACGAAGCGGAGCUGGACAAGACCAACAAAUUCAUCAAGGAGCUGAUCAAGGACGGGAAGUCACUCAUCAGCGCGCUCAAGAACUUGUCUUCGGCGAAGCGGAAAUUUGCAGAUUCCUUGAAUGAAUUUAAAUUUCAGUGCAUAGGAGAUGCAGAAACAGAUGACGAAAUGUGUAUAGCAAGGUCUUUGCAGGAGUUUGCCACUGUCCUCAGGAAUCUUGAAGACGAGCGGAUACGGAUGAUCGAGAAUGCCAGCGAGGUGCUCCUCACCCCCUUGGAGAAGUUUCGGAAGGAGCAGAUUGGGGCUGCUAAGGAAGCCAAAAAGAAGUAUGACAAGGAGACAGAGAAGUAUUGUGGCAUCCUAGAAAAACACUUGAAUUUGUCUUCCAAAAAGAAAGAAUCUCAGCUUCAGGAGGCAGACAGCCAGGUGGACCUGGUCCGGCAGCAUGUCUAUGAAGUGUCCCUGGAGUACGUCUUCAAGGUGCAGGAGGUCCAGGAGAGAAAGAUGUUCGAGUUUGUGGAGCCCCUACUGGCUUUCCUGCAAGGCCUCUUCACCUUCUAUCACCAUGGGUAUGAGCUGGCCAAGGACUUCAGUGACUUCAAGACGCAGUUGACGAUCAGCAUCCAGAACACAAGAAACCGCUUUGAAGGCACCAGGUCGGAAGUGGAAUCGCUGAUGAGGAAGAUGAAGGAGAAUCCCCUCGAGCACAAGACCAUCAGUCCCUACACCAUGGAAGGGUACCUCUACGUCCAGGAGAAACGUCACUUUGGAACUUCCUGGGUGAAGCACUACUGUACCUAUCAGCGGGAUUCCAAGCAAAUCACCAUGGUACCAUUUGACCAAAAGUCAGGAGGAAAGGGGGGAGAAGAUGAGUCAGUCACUCUGAAAUCCUGCACACGGCGGAAAACAGACUCAAUCGAGAAGAGGUUUUGCUUUGACGUGGAAGCAGUCGACAGGCCCGGGGUUAUCACCAUGCAGGCGUUGUCUGAAGAGGACCGCAGGCUCUGGAUGGAAGCCAUGGACGGCCGGGAACCUGUCUACAACUCCAACAGAGACAGUCAGAGCGAAGGCACUGCACAGUUGGACAGCAUUGGCUUCAGCAUCAUCAGGAAAUGCAUCCACGCUGUGGAAACCAGAGGGAUCAACGAGCAGGGGCUCUACCGGAUCGUGGGGGUCAAUUCCAGAGUGCAGAAGCUGCUGAGUGUGCUGAUGGACCCCAAAGCGGCUGCUGAGACAGAAGCAGAUAUCUGUGCCGAGUGGGAGAUCAAGACCAUCACUAGCGCUUUGAAGACCUACCUAAGAAUGCUUCCAGGACCCCUCAUGAUGUACCAGUUUCAAAGGAGUUUCAUCAAAGCAGCAAAGCUGGAGAACCAGGAGUCUCGGGUCUCUGAAAUCCACAGCCUUGUCCAUCGGCUCCCAGAGAAAAAUCGGCAGAUGUUGCAGAUGCUCAUGAACCACUUGGCAAAUGUCGCUAACAACCACAAGCAGAAUUUGAUGACCGUGGCCAACCUUGGCGUGGUGUUCGGACCCACGCUGCUGCGUCCUCAGGAAGAAACAGUGGCAGCCAUCAUGGACAUCAAGUUUCAGAACAUUGUCGUUGAGAUCCUCAUUGAAAAUCACGAAAAGAUUUUCAACACCGUGCCUGACGCGCCCCUCGCCAACACCCUGCACCUGUCUCGGAAGAAGAGCGGUGACUCCAAGCCCCCGUCCUGCAGCGAGAGGCCCCUGACGCUCUUCCACACCACGCAGUCCACAGACAGACAAGAACAACGAAACAGCCUCAUCAACUCCAGCUUGGAAUCUGUGGUCUCAUCAAAUGCAAACAGCAUCCUGAAUUCCAGCAGCAGCUUACAGCCCAACAUGAACUCCAGUGACCCAGACCUGGAUACGCUCAAGCCCGCCCGGCCCAACUCACUCCCCCCGAAUCCAAGCCCAACUUCACCCCUCUCGCCAUCUUGGCCCAUGUUCUCGGCGCCAUCCAGCCCUAUGCCCACUUCAUCCACGUCCAGCGACUCAUCCCCCAUCAGGCCAGAAGAAGCGGUUCGUGAAGACUCCAGGUAAAAUCACGGAAGAUGACCAAUCCGUUCCCGUUUCUCCAAAGCCAGUCAGGGAUGCCGUGGGGCCAGCCUCUGCCCGCCGGGGGUCCCAGCCUCAGAGACCCAAGCUGGGAGGGACCCUUUGCAUGAAGCAGCAUGGCCAUUUCCAUGCCCUUCUGAACCCUUCCUCUGGCUACUGGAUUAAUCUCUGUUGCCUGGAGUUUGGGGAAAGAGUGCCUCUUCAUGGGCUCCUGUGUGGAUCAUUGGCUACACUGUGGGGCUCUCUGUGCUUCAGCAUCAGAUCCUAUCAAAGGCAGCAGCCCCGAGACACAUACCAGCCUCCUCUAACCUCAUGUUUAUCAGGUAGCAUCAGGCAGUGUUUAUCUGUGGGGUUGGGUUGUCGGCCAUGCGUUACUAGCACGUAGUUGCUGAGACCCAGACCAGUGGGGAGAGAGACGCAUAUAAGGCAGAAUAAAGGCUUAGGAUGUGGAGUAGUUUGGGGCCAAAUUGUUGCCGGCUGCCUCCUUACUUGCCCUACAGUCCCAGGAAGGCUCGGUGCUCCCAGCCCACUUCUGUCUCCACGUGUCAUGAACCCUUAGCGCUCAGGCAAACGGGUGACACCUCUUUCUGAGGGCUGACCUGGUUCCUGUCCCCAAGGGCUGUGCUGUCGUCCUUCCCCUGCGUUGAGGGCGCCCAGCCUUAAUUCUUUGCAUUUGUGUUCUUGGGAGGAAAGGAUCCUGCAGAAUCCCUCUGCUGUGUAGACCCCGAGCACCUGUGUCUCGAACUUAGUCCCUCCUUGUAGACGCAGCCAAACUGCAGAGCCCAGUUAGAAGCAUCAUUUUGGGCCUUGGCAGUAUUUUCUCAUCCCUUUUUUUUUUUUUUUUCUCAUGGAUGAUUUUUUUCCCCGAAGAGAUGGGCCCAGCAGAGAGGCGUCAAUAAUUUAUAAUACUGAGUGUCACUUUUUACAAAAGAAACCCCAUGCUAUUUAUACAUAUAGAUAUGGACAUCUGUAUGCAUAGACAUCUAUGUAUACAUACACUAUUUUUAAAUAUACGUACGUAAAACUUGAGUCUCCUCCAGGCACUUCCACAUCUAUCAUUUCAUUCUGUCCUCCUGUGAGAAUGAGAGAAGAAAUAUGGCCUGAACCCUGUUACAGAGAAAGAAAACCGUAAGGCACAGAGAAGUGACUAAUACACCGUCACAUGACCAAUGAGAUCCAGUCUAGAAUUCAGGACUCAACCAGCACUCUUUCCUCCAAACACAUGGGCGACCCCAAAUUUAAGUCUCCCUGUUUCCCAGCCUCAGAGCCUGGGCUGCUCCUCUAGAUUUUCUGUCUAGCUUUGCCCUUGAAGAUGGAAAAGGUAGUUUUUCACUAUAUUCCUACAUCCUCAUCCUGGAAAUAAGGUAAACAUUCAGAUGAUACUUUCCUGACACCCAGGUUAUUUCCUAAUUAUUUCUCAGGCGUGUCCUGGGCACUUUGAGAAAUGUCAACUUUCUAGGAGACCAGAUGUGGCUUGGAUUGUUCUGGUCAGAUCACUGAUUACCCCGUGAAGACCUGAACCAGAGCCAACGACAGGGACCAGCGAGAGUCACCUCUCACACCGCCUCCCUCAUUUAUAAGAGAGGCUUUGGCCUUAGGAGAAUGUGGUUCCUUGACUUUGAUCGAAAGGAAGUCCCAUCUUCAGAACACGGGCCAUUGGACAGAAUGGCUCGGGGUACUCAGGACACUAGCAUCAGUCAGCUGGAAAACUGACCUGUGCUCUGCUUCAACAGUGUUUGCUUUCUUACAUCUCAAAGCUUUGGGGCCCUAGUGCCUGUCCAGCAUCGGCACCUCUCCACGCCCUUCCAUCUCCAAAGACAUUGCCAGGUUUUACCUCUCUAGCUACCCCUUUUCAUCUCCCAGAGUGUUGGCCAAUUGAUACAGGACCGUGGCAGUAGAGGCUGCUCACCCCACGUGUUUGGGUUCGUGGUUACUCAGUGCUGUUCACGCUGGCCAUCAUUAUAAAGGCACCAUGUGGACAACGCUCUUCCGUCACCCUCUAGGAAGCUGCCAUUUUGAAACAGGCCAGGCAGAGUAGGGCUCAGAGUUGGCUGUCACCGAGCGGACUCUGUGUGCCAAGGUGAACCCGAUGGGGAGACAGACGACUGGGGAGCUGGCCAACCGAGGGCUGAGAGCCCCUGACUGCUGUUGCAGUGUCCAGCCAAGAGGUGGGGUCACACACCCAUUAUUCAGGACCAUUCCCCCACAUCCUCUUCCAGAACAGGAAGCUUCAGAUUUCCUUCCCUGGGCAGAGCUUUUAGAAAUAAAACCUUAAUGAGACCUAAUUGAUGGGCCCGUGAACUUGGGUGCGUCUCUGCUGGAAGUGGCUUCCUCCCACCUCUUCACAGUGUUGUUGGUACUUGUUAGUUCAGGCUCAGAAAGGGAGAUGCCUUCACAGCACAGCAGAGAGAGGGGCCUGCAGGAGCAUUUUGACCUGCACCUCAAGAGAAGCUCCCAGCCCCAAACCAGAAGCUGGAUGCCCACAGGGGCUCCUGGAAAUGACGCCUAAAUGAUCAGGCUCUGCAGCCUGCUGGUCUUGCUGAGCCCAUCUCCCUGCAGUGGAGAGUGCGUUGUCACUUUGCAAGAUUUGCAAGGGCGUCUGCCGGAAACUCCCCAGAAUGCUUUCCUGGCUCCACGCCAUGCUCAGAGGUGAAAAUUAAAAAUGAACUAGCAGAAGGUUCUAAGCUCCUUCACGCCCCUGAAGGCCUAGUUGAGGCCCAAAGGGUGCUGUCACGGGAGAAUCAGAGGCACCCCAGGCUCCCUGUGUCCAGUGUUGGUGCAGGAUAGGGAGCUAGGGAACCAAAGAACCAAAAUGCUUGGUGGACUUUUUAUCUCUUUACUCAGAGCCAAAACCUACAAACAACACCUUUGUGCCAACAGAUCUGUUUUGAUAAUAAUUUAAAAAAAAAAAAAAAAAAAAAAAAAACCCUGCCUCACACCAACCGCUCAGGGCUUUUGAUGGGGACAGAGUGUGGCCUGGGACCCUGGACAGACUUACAGAGAGAAGGCGUCCCCCUGAGUAGGUCUGCCAGAUGGAGCAAAGAAAGUGAAAAUACCCAGUUACAUUUGCAUUGUACAUAAACAACAAAUACGGGGGGUUUUUUUAAGUAUAAGUAUAUCCCAUGCCGUUUGGGGGAUAUACUCAGACUAAAACAGUAUCCCUCGUUGAUCUGAGGUUCACAUUUAAUGAGAUGCCGUGUAUCUUAUUUGGCAGCCCUGGUCCUGGGCACAGGAGUAGCCCCGUGUAAAGCACCUCUUCUGUCCUCUCUCCAUCUGAGUGACAUCUCACGGGGGCAGGAGGACGUCUCAGGGGAGGAAAGACCCCGAGGCCUGUAGGUCACCUCUUCCCAUGAGGGGAAAGCAAGGCCCUUUCCUGACCUUUGGUUUUGUCUUAACUAUGCUGUUUUGUUCAAUAUUCUUCAGUUUCCUCCUGAAGGACAGACCCCUGAGACCAUUCCCUCUGCCUCCUUCCUGCCAGAUACCCCAGUCCCUCUCCCCGGCUGGCCCCUGUUUUGCCCCCUUCCCUGUAUUUGAUGAGGUUAAUAAGUAACCACUCUCAAAACCCAGCUGGAGGAGCCUCUGUAACUCCCCGUCCCGGUCUCUUUCCUCUCUCCUCACCUGCUCUGCCCUGUCCUCAAGGGACGGUGACCCCGGAGUCUCCUCCCCCCUCCCAUGUCACAACAGGCUCCACUUGCCUGCCAGUACAGAGCCUGGGCUGCUUUAACCACAGCAGUAACAGAACUUGAGUUAUCCAUUGGCUGUUUGGCCUUUGCUGGGCCACACUCAGUCCUGGUUUAGUUAGAUCACAGAAUGAGCCCCUUGUCCUGAACUUUAUUCUUUUUUUUUUUUUUUUUUUUUUAAUCUUUUUAGGGCUGCACCCACAGCAUAUGGAGGUUCCUAGCUUAGGGGUCAAAUCGGAGGAGGUGUAGCCGCCGGCCUGCACCACAGCUCCCAGCAACGCCGGAUCCUUCACCCACUGAGCAAGGCCAGGGAUCGAACCUGCAUCCUCAUGGAUGCUACUCAGGCACCUUUCUGCUGAGCCACUGCGGGAACUCUCUGAACUUUAUUCUGAUGUGAGUGAUAAUCACCCAGGAAGAGCCGGUUUCCAGGGGGAGCGGAUUCGUUCUGCAGGCUCUUCCUCCCUUCACUCCCUCCCAGCGAAUCCCCCUGAUGGCUCUCCCACUUUCCCAGCUGCCCCCCACCUGGCCAUCGUCUCCCAGCUACUAGAAGAUCGGAGAGAACCCCAGGAAACUGCCAAUUCUGGAUAUCCAUUUAUCUGAUCUUUCUGCACAACAGGUGCUUUGAGUCCCCUUCCCUUCAGCCUUCAUGGAACCGAUCCUCGAAGUUUCAGAUGCCUGGCUCUGGUAUCGGUUUCUGAACAUCGUGGCUCCUCUUUCCCAGAGGGAAGCAGGACCUGGGGAAGGAACGGAUACAUGGUGACCCGAGACGCCCCACCUCUCCCAGUUCUGUCUCAGUUUACCCGAGACCAGUCAUUCCUAUCUCAAUCUCAAUCGGCCCCCAGAAAUCAGGGCACCAUGGAAGUUUAGCAUCUCUGGGUCUUUAGGGCUCUCCACUAGCCAAAUAAAGUCAAUAAUAUGUAUCCCUUGAAUAAUUAUCUGCUUGCUGUUUUGUUACCCUGCCCUGCAGCCCCUAAAUCUGCUUCCUCAGAUGGCUUAGAGGGAGAGAGAGGCUGCUUUCAGCAAAUAAAGAACCAACUUUGGAUGGCAAAAGGUCACUUUUCUUAUGACACUUGAGAAGUCCAAAGACCAUCUAGAACUGGCUGGCUCUCAGAGCAAAAAGUGAUUUUCUACUACUUGGGACUGGCACUCCAGAACAUGGGUUAGCAGUCGGGGGCCACUGGGGCCAAGCCAGCCUGCCACCUGCUUUUUGUAAGUGAAGUUGUGAUGCAACACAGCCACACAAAUUCACUUACAUGUUGUCUGCAGCUGCUUCCGUGCUGCAGUGCAGAGCUGAGGAAGUGCAGCAGAGACCAUAUGGCCCACGAAGCCUAAAACAUUUACUGUCUGGCCCUUCACAGGAGUUUGCAAACCCCCUGCUCUAGAAGGAUGAUUCUCAGCCCUGGUGGCUCAUUAGCGUCCCUGGGAGAGGUUUACAAAAAUGCUGAGGCUUAUAUCUGCAAGACAGGCUAGAACCUAGACUUCUGCAUUUUUUAGGUUUUUUUUUUUUUUAAUUCCCUGGGUGAUUCUGAUAUACAGUGACCGUGCAUGAGAAAGACGCAAAAACUUGCAUCACGUCCCGUCCCUCCCUGCUCCCCACACAUGUGCACACCUGUAUGCCUGCACACAUGUGUGUAACUGCUCACACUCCCACUUUGUGUGUUCCCUGCCCCACCCUGGGAGCCCCAGCUCUGGAACCCUGAUCCACCAGCCCAAGGGGAAAUAAGCAGCAUUUGGAAGAGCUCAUGUCGGCCCAGGGCCUGGAGCGCAAACCUGGCCUCGCUCGAAUUUCUCCUUUUCGACUCACUGAGCAUUGCCAGUUCUCCGCAGGGUCUGUUGGGAGUGUUCUCCAGAGCAGCGUGGACGGUUUUUUCCUGCCUCCACUUCCCUCCUCCCCAGCUGGUCCUGCUCCAGAAAUGGGGCCCAGCCUGCCCUCCCCGUGUUCAGCUGCCAUAGCACCUAGGGACAGAGUGACCGUGGCACAAGGUGACCCCCACCAGAAGUAGGGUGUCUCCCGGCUUAUGGCUCUUCUCUGAAUGGUUCUCGGUUUGUUUUUUUUUAACUCCCAUGACCUUUGCAACUUUCCCACCUCCUGUUUUGCCAUCUGGCUGCCUUGCUAGGCUCUUCCCACGGCAGAGGGCUGGGUGGCUUGCAGGGAAGGGGAGGAAGACAGAUUGAGUACCUGGAGCUUUCUGGCGGUUUCUUAAAAAACGCUAAAGAAACUCCUGUUGUCCCCCAGCGUGCCGUUCCGGAAGGCAAAAGCCUUGUACGCCUGCAAAGCGGAGCACGACUCGGAGCUCUCGUUCACCGCCGGCACCGUCUUCGAGAACGUUCAUCCGUCUCAGGAGCCCGGCUGGUUGGAGGGGACUCUGAACGGCAAGACGGGCCUCAUCCCCGAGAACUACGUGGAGUUCCUCUAACCGUCUCCAUGGCAGAGCUGCUGAGCCCUCCGUGGUAUCCAUGACAACCGCUGAGUCCUGUGUCGUGGGCCAUUGCUCUUCGCCGCUGAGACCGGCAGGGUGACUGACUCUGCUGCUACGUGUCCACAUGAAUGUUUCCGCGAACUCUGGUGUCGCCAUCCCCGUGAUCAUCUCAGCCCGACGUGCGGUGAUACUGCAAGAAACAGUCGGACAUCCGCGGAGGAGCCCCGUGGAGUUUGAUAACCAAGAGAAAGGCUUACGGAGCCGCCUCUUUCAUUUAGUGCCCUAAAUGGGCAACGCUCAUGCGCUUUCAACAGUCCCCCCAACCCCCACCUGCUGAAAAAGGAAGUACGUGGGAGAUCAGCGUCCCCACGGAUGUGCGGUGUCGCAGCAUGUGCGCUGUAGCCGGGUCCAGCGGGGCUGGGCAUAGGCCUGAGGUCCAGGCUGGGUCCCCCACUUUGGUUUACUGGAGGCACUCUCUCCGCCCCGUCUCUCAGCACUUGAGGCCCGCAGUGCUCCAGGUGGCUGGGUCUGCUGGUUUGCGUGCAGGAUAGGGAGGGGUGAUGGCCCUGUUUACAGAAGGUCCAAUCUCUCACCAUCUCUCAGGCAGCCGCUGGCCCAGCAUCAGUAGAAUUCUGUCUAGUCCGCUCAUGUGAGGCAACACACGCACCCCCACGGCCCCCCUCCCAAGCUAGAACGUCUCCACCACCGAGGGCUGCCAUCACCUCGUCACCACGGCAACCCAACCUUCUCUAAAAGCAAACCAAAAAAUAACACACGCUGGACAUGACGUGUCUUGUUUUUCUCCACCCCCACCCCCCACCCUCACAACCACCUUUGGGUCGUUUCUCGGAUGCUUUUCCAACAACCUGAUGCAGAGGCUCGGGGCAUGAGAGUGGUCUCCUUGGGGGCAGACAGACUAGCAGCUGGGAACUCUUUCCUUCCUGACGGAUUGCAGCACCACCAGGGUAUAUUUGGAGCAAACUCUAGUAACCUCUUGCGAUUCGAUUACGUGCGGGCUUAAUAUUUCUGCUCUUCCACGCAAGCAGUGUUUGCUUUCUAGAGGGCAACCUGCUGCCUCCCAGUGGGUGACACCCUCCCUCUGACUCAUUCCUUCCCUUUCACCUGUCCCUUCCCCUCCUCACCCGCCUCUGGCCCAUCACUCUUAUCCCACCCCACCCCCACCCCCUGGCAGUGCCCUGGGCUGCCAAGCACUGGUGCCCUGGCAGUCUUCCAGCACACUUCCCGGCUCAGCCCAUGGCCUCUAGUUUAAAAGGACACACAUAUUCACUGCCACUCAGAAAAAGGGAAUGGUUUCUCAGGCUCUUGAGGCAUGAGACUAAUAUCAUAAGCCAUGGUGAUUUAGGAGGGCACUGUACCAUUGGGCCAUGGAAGGUGGCAUGGGUACCUCCUGAGAAAGAGAAUUUCCUGAUCCAGGAGGGGCUGGGCCUUGGGGAAGCCCACCUUGAGGGGGAAGUAUGGCCUGGACAUGUCGCGGUCACUUAGCCUCCAAAGAAGAGAGUCCCAGGAUCUCCCACGUUUGAAUGUCCCUGCAAGAGCGAUUCUGGGCAAACUCCAAAGUUAAGGGACUGUCACGCUCCCUAGGAACCCCUCGGGAUGGCAGCACCAUUCCAGAAUGUUUCCUGCUUCUGGAAUGCCUCUUUAGGGACCUUUCGAGAAGAAAAGGAAAACUUGAAUUGUGUUGAAUUACUGUAUCUUUUACUUUUUUUUUUUUUUUUUGGAAAAGAUAAACUUGUAAAUAGAGUGAUUUGAAAUACUAUAUGGCAAAGUUUUAUAUUUGAUAUUCCUUAAGCUUUGAUUGCUGAACAAGUGUGUACAUGAGGGAGAGAGAGGACGCAAGGCUGAAGAGAGUCAAGGCUGUCCCCUCUGGCCUCCAGGAAGGAGAAGCGAUUUCCACCCACUCUGUGCUGGCUCUUGGUGGUGGGCACGACGCAUUAACGGUGUUCAGUCUUCUUUGUCCAGCCGUGGUUUUUGAGCAUUUCUUGGCCUUUGGAUUUGGAGAUGGGAAGAGCACCUUCAGGCAAUGAACUUAUCCAAGAACUCCUACCCAGUAGUAAGGUGAAGCUCAGGAUUUAAACAGGUGAGGCCAGGGGGGCAGAUAUUUUUUUUUUUUUUUCAUUUUUCUUCUCAGGUGUAUUUCUUGGUACCCCGAGGUACUGGGACAAAAGAGGGAAUGAUUGCGUGUUCCUUCUGUCUAACGCUUCUGCACAUCUUCCAAGGCUUUAUAAAUGAGUCCAAGCUAGUUUGCAAAUAUGAUGUGUGUCUUCAGUUCUAAGAAAAACUAGCUUCUUAGGAUCUUGAGUUCUCGAUAUGCUGCUGCUCUCCUUUCCCUUAACAGGUUUGUGCCCUUCCUGUUCAUCUCAGAUGUCCUACAACCCUCAAGGAAGGGGGGGGGGGGAACCUCUAAAGAGGGAUGGAGAUUGUGCUAUUAGAGCUUUAUGGGCGGCUUUAAAGUUCAUAGGAGUUUGUCAUUGUGAUUCAUGCCAUCAGCUCCCGGAGUUCACAGCUGCUACCCAGGAUCUCACCCAGCAGCAAGCCAGACACUCCCACUGAAUCAGGGAGCAAACAUUAAGAUUGGAGAAGACGGAGACAGGCCUCACGGAGUACCCAAACAGGAAGGGGACAACCAGGCAGACUACACCUGCUCCCUCAGACUGGGAGCAGCUUGGGGACCUGUUGAAAGGGGCCAGGGGCCCAAGCACACUCUGUCUAUACCACUGGGCUUUCCAAAUAGAGUGCAACAUGUUGCUUUUAAAUCUUCACCUGCCCCUUUGAAACCUUAGCUAGAACCAAUGUGGAGCAGCCGGAAGGCCCGGGCCCUGGCUUUGGGAGUUGCUCUCUGGAGCGUUCCUGUCAACCGUCGGCCCCAGCUUGACCCCCCGGAAGCAGGUCCCUGCUCCUCACAUGGCCCUGAUCUGAAGCCGGGGGACAUGGAGCUGCUCCAGUGGCCCUUUUUAGGUAGACCCCUUGACGGCUUCUCUGGGCUGUGCUGGGCAGUGACAGGUGGCUGCCCUCCCUCCCUUCCCCCACCAGCUCCCCUCGCCGUCAGCUGCAGAACUGGAGACACUGUUCAGAAUGUGAGCCAACAGAUGAGAAGGGACUGGAAGACUGAAAACGGGCUUUCCCCACUCCGCUGUGUAUGCCCCCCGCCCUCCCUCUGCUGCCAUAGGCUUCUAGGGGUGUGAACUGGGUAUCGGAGGGGAAGGCUGUGGACCAAAUUCUGGGAACUUUCCCUCGUGUUUCUUUUGGAAGGCCCUGAGAUCAAGUGGGCUUACGUAGCCCGAGGGUUUUUUUUUGGUGUUGGGAUCAGCUCACUCCUCUUCCAGGUGUUCACUGAAUUCCUAGCUACAGAAAGCCAUAUGCCUUGAGAAGAUAGUUUGUUUUAAAUUCUCCCCUCCCCACUCCAAGUCAGUUCCUGACUUGCUCAAGACUGAUGAUAAUCUUCUCUAUUUUCAAACCUAAACAUAGAGAGGUGGCCCCCAGAGCACUCACUACGUUGGUAUCCUAGGAGUGGAGCCAGUUUUUGGCUUAGAGUUUUAGUAUUUCUACAGCUAAUAUAUGUGUUCUCCUGUCAGACUAAGUUGACUUGGUGUUUUGUUUUGUUUUUUCCAAUGUGGUUCCAAUGCAUCUCCUCUUACAGAGUGCAUUUUGGACAGAGAGGCAAAGAGAAAGAGAGAAAAUGAGCAGUCACGUAUUGGCCGACUGGCAUUAGCAACACAGCCAUUCUAGUGACAGGGUCAUUUCAGCAUUUGCCAGGACUCUGCAGUUAUGUGUGCCAGCCCUGUAACUUAAAGGGAAGUCCUUCUGCCAUCAGCGUUUGUAUCUCUUGAAAGCAACAACCCCUGCGACACCAAAAGCUCUGUCUUGACUGCAGAGGCUCCAAAAACAUCCAUGACUGGGGAGUAGGGAGGCAGAAACAAUCAACUAAAGAGACCAUGAUUGACACCAAGAUACCAUGAUCAACUAGUCAUGGCUGUUGGCACCUUUCAUCCUCGGGUUUCUGUCCAAAAGCAAGUCUAGACCAUGUGCUUUUAUAGACACAGGACUCCUAGGUACCAGGGUGGCUCUCGUGGGCCACUCACUGUUUGCCCUUGUGUUGAAUGUUUUAAUGAGCAGCCAUGUUCCCCAAGUAGGUAGCCAGCAUUAAGGAAACCAAACAGCCACUUCACUACCUGACUUUAGAAGGAAAGUCCUGGGGAUUCUAGGGCAUUAAUCCAUUUCUGGCAAGCUUGCCAGUCAUCAUUUACCUAGACAGCCCCAGCCCACACCUCUUUUAAGUCAACUGCCUGUCCUCCCACACACCCUGUGCUGGUGUCUAAAAAAUGUAUCUUUUCAUGCUCCAGUGUGUUUGGAGGCCCUGCUGGUAUGCUGGACCGCUUCUCUGUAAAUGUCACGUCCAAAUGACAGCAGCCGUAGAGUGACCGGCCUUUGCACAAGCCUCCAGCAGACCCGCGACCAGAGUCCAGCUUGUAAUAGCUUCCUUCUUUUCAUCACCUAUAGCACUUGUCUAACUACAGAGCUUCCCGAAGCAGAGGGAGAGGCCGUCCAGAAAGUCCAGACGUCAUUCAGAGCUGGCCCCUGCUGAGUGGUCUCCGUAGGGAAAGCCCAUGUGUUCCUAGGAGCGAAAGUACUAGGCGUAAAGCGAUGCUAGGAGCAGAGAGAGAAGGCAGACUGUACAAAACAACCGGGGAUUUUCUAAAAGAGGGACUAAUAUAGUUCUUAAUGGGAGGGAAUCCGUCACAUGAAACGGUCACAGCUAAGAUUUUUACGAAGGUUUUACAGGACACGACACGAUCAAAACAACUUUCAAAGUGAAAUGCUCUCGUGUGCAAAGGCUUGGCGCAGUCCUAGACCCACGUGAGUGAAGCCAUUGUGUUAGGUCCACAUUCUCUUUAGUGUUGUGGGAACCCAGAGCCGUGAUGACCAAGGGGUCAGGAGUACCCGGGGCAGAGCCAUCCAGGAGAGGCCAGGCCUGUGGACACUUCUCCAGUGACCAUUCCGACCAAGUUGUCCACGUAGACACCUUCCCAGAGCUUCCUGGGGUAUCCAGACAGCAGGGCCACCCUCGUACCUGUGAAAAGAGGCUUCUCUGAUGAUUCUUAACGUACACAUAUUAGUACGUGUUAGUGUAUGUGUGUGUGCCGCUCACAUUCACACAUGUAAAGAUAACAGACUCUUCCAGAAACCCACCUAAGCGGGCAGUUGCUGAGCCUUGACAGCCUUUCAGAUUGGAAGGUUGAGCAUUAGAGAAACAAGACAGGCUGUUGAUUGACUAUCAGAGCGAUCAAAGAUGUAAAUUAAGUGCCAUUUUAAGACAUUGUUCGUAUUUAUCGAAUGGUUACUAUCUACAGCUAUAUUCCUUGUUAACUUAUUAAGAGUCAUGUUGAAAAAAAGCUCAAACUCCUAAACGGUUAGUAGUUAAUAAGCACUCUAAAAGACAUUUGUCUCUAUUUUAGAGAAGAAAAUAUUUGCAUGUUUCAUUCAUAAUUUAGGCUACCUUUGAGUAUCUUAGAAAGUGCUGGGUGAUAGACUAUCAAUAAAGUACAUAAAAAUGGCACUUUAAUGUUUUUUUUUUAAACCAUAAAUGCACUGUUUUAAACUUCAGUAUUGAAUAUUGACUGGCGUGCAGAAUCCUAUUUCGUCAUUCCAAAGGAACUUGUGACUAGAACUUUUUCGCUGUCAUUCGUGAAGUAGUUUUGCCGUAUUCAGGCUUUAAAAGAAAAAAAUGUGCUUUUGUGUCACUGAGCAGAUCUUGAUACACUGUUUCUGUUGAGUGGCCUCUGAAACUUGGCUUUCUGUCACUUGGCUGGUUUACACGACAAUCCCUAUGAAAUGAGUGGAAGUAUGAUUUUUGAAUUAAACAACCUUUCCAUUUGGUGG